Molecule: unclassified non-coding RNA, 2078 nt
Filed under: Hevea brasiliensis (rubber tree)
Lineage: Eukaryota; Viridiplantae; Streptophyta; Magnoliopsida; Malpighiales; Euphorbiaceae
Source: RNAcentral
GUAAAAUAUAAAAUUAAUAAUUUCUGCUGCUAAGUGAAUAAAUGCAAAACCACUAGGAUUGGAUAUAGCAUAUUGGAAAAACAGAAUCAAGAAUAAACUGGUUUCCUGCAUAACCUUCAAAGUUUAAUUUCAAACAAAGAACAAUGAAGGCUAUGUGCAGAUCAAAGAUAUUUACAUUUAUUAUAUUAUACAUCGACAAAAGGGGCACCAUUCUUCUGUGUUGAGCAUCUCAUUGCCAAAGAAAAUGUUCUUUUGCUACAGCCAUAGCAUCAAGCAUGUUGCCUUUAGUUUCAUCUGCCACCCUAUCUCUUACCAAAUAGUAACAUCUUCUUAAAUUCUCAUUAUAUGUUAUGGUCUCUCUCUCAUGGAAUGUUGUAAUCUUCUGAGCACGAUCCGAUUAUAAAAACAUUUUGUCCGUAAGAACAAUCCAAAAGCAGCAAGAGCCCCCAGAAAUGUAGCCGAUGCCAUGAUCAGAAAAGAUAACAUGAAACAGUGAGUUCCAGUGCAUGUGAUCCCUUCCCCUGAUGCUUCCCUGUCAUAUAUAUAACCAACGACUCUUACAGAGAAUAUGUAGGAUCCAACAGGACUAGCAAUAGUGAUGGUAUUGAAUAUGGUGCCCAUAUGUCUUACCCCAAAUAUCUCUGAAGCAAUUGUGGGCAUCAGUGACCACUGAGAACCAUAACAAACACCCACCAAAACAGAACCAGCAUAGAGAGCACCAGGCAAACCAGAAGCAAUCACCAAGUGACCAAUGGUCAUGCCUGCAAGAGUGAUGAACAUGAACAAUGGCCUUGCCCAGCCUCUAGCGUGUAAGAAAUAAUCAGAUACAUAUCCAGCUCCAAAUCGGCCAAGAAAGUUCCAAAUGCUCCACAAGGAAAUUAAGGUAUUAGUUUCGAAACUUGCAUAACCAAGAGAUCCUCCUACUUGGCCCAUAUUAUUCACUGUGGCAAGUCCUGAGCCCAUACCACAAGCCAUGGCAAGAAACAAAAUCCAGAAAUCCACCGUACAGGCAGCUUGCAAGAGAUUCACGUCUUCGUCAUUUUGCAAACAAUUGUCACCUUCAGGGUCACCAGGCAAACUUCGAUACCCUGUAGCACCAUGUCUUGCAAGCAACUUAGACUCAUCCACUAAAUGAUUCCUCUCAGAAAUAAUAUCAGAAUUCUUUUCCCUAGCUUUGAUUGCAACGAAAAGAGGCAAUACAAGCAACAGUAUGAGCAGGAUAAAUGCAACCACACGCACUGAAAAUUGGAAACUGAAGACAUGUUCCAAUAUUAUAAUGAUCAUAAGAUAUGCAGCCAGAACCAAUGAAAUCACUGAGAAACUAUCAAGGUACUUCUUCUCCUCUGCUUCACUCACACUGUGAAUUCUGACCAACCACAUUAGUAUCAUCGGAUUGAUGCUGGGCAAAAGUGCCAGCAGCAGGAGAUACGAGGUGGGUUUGUUGUUGAAUAUUGUUUGAUAUACUUGUAUUAAUAUUGCUCCACUUAAACCAAGAAAUCCCUAGCAAGUAAAAGAAAAACUUUUCACAAGAAUCAAUCAAAUUCUCAUUAAUCCAUGCAAUUGAUUUCGAAUUGGGUUGCUAACCAUUUUCUUUUAUAUGGAUGAUGAAUAAAAAUUGGGGGAAAAGCAAGAAAGAGAAACCUUCAUGAUGCCAACGGCAGUGCCGCUAUAGUUGAGGAAAUUCCGCACAGAAGUGACGACAUUAGCGGUAUUAAAGAAACUUUGGCCGUGCGCCGCCAGAAACAUGAACAAACACAUCGCCGCAACCGGCGGUGUCUGAAUUAAUCCGAUAACAGCAGCCCACAUAAAAAAAUACCCAGCGAAGCACUGUAUGGCGCCAACCAGGAGGACAACCCAUGGCCCACUAGAAAUUGUCGAAGUGGGUUCGUGGUGGUGAUGGGUGGUGGCUUUGGUGUAGAGAACACCGGAAAGAAAGCCGCAGUUGGCGCCGAUGUCUUUGAAAACAGAGACAGUGUCGAGCGUUGAUUGAUCAUAGCCUUGGGUAGACUUAAGAGUCGGGGAGUAGAUGGAGAAGGUGUAAAGAGAGCCGCUGGUGCACUGGAUCCAUAUGCUGGCAA